This 253-nucleotide ribosomal RNA is filed under the name uncultured bacterium. RNAcentral describes it as "partial 16S ribosomal RNA". It matches the Rfam family "Bacterial small subunit ribosomal RNA", at positions 524 to 776 of the family's 1533-position model. The record is from RNAcentral.
UACAGAGGCCCCGAGCGUUACCCGGAAUCACUGGGCGUAAAGCGUGUGUAGGUGGUCAUAUUAGUCGUCCGUUAAAACCCGGGGCCCAACCCCGGAAGUGCGGGCGAAACGGUAUGACUCGAGGGUGUGAGAGGUGCAUAGAACUCUAGGUGUAGGGGUGAAAUCCGUUGAUAUCUAGGGGAAUACCGAAAGCGAAGGCAGUGCACUGGCGCAUUCCUGACACUCAAACACGAAAGCGUGGGUAGCGAACGGG